AUUCGCCCUUAGAGUUUGAUCCUGGCUCAGGACGAACGCUGGCGGCGUGCCUAACACAUGCAAGUCGAGCGGGGACAUGGAGGAGCUUGCUCCGAGAUGUUCUAGCGGCGGACGGGUGAGUAACGCGUGAGCAACCCGCCUUUCACAGGGGGAUAACGCAUCGAAAGAUGUGCUAAUACCGCGUAAGACCACAGCACCGCAUGGUGCAGGGGUCAAAGGAGCAAUCCGGUGAAAGAUGGGCUCGCGUCCGAUUAGCUAGUUGGUGAGAUAACAGCCCACCAAGGCGACGAUCGGUAGCCGACCUGAGAGGGUGAUCGGCCACAUUGGAACUGAGAGACGGUCCAGACUCCUACGGGAGGCAGCAGUGGGGAAUAUUGGGCAAUGGGCGAAAGCCUGACCCAGCAACGCCGCGUGAGGGAAGAAGGGUUUCGGCUCGUAAACCUCUGUCCUAUGGGACGAAGGAAGUGACGGUACCAUAGGAGGAAGCCCCGGCUAACUACGUGCCAGCAGCCGCGGUAAUACGUAGGGGGCGAGCGUUGUCCGGAAUGAUUGGGCGUAAAGGGCGCGUAGGCGGCCUGAUAAGUCUGGAGUGAAAGUCCUGCUUUCAAGGUGGGAAUUGCUUUGGAUACUGUCGGGCUGGAGUGCAGGAGAGGAAAGCGGAAUUACCGGUGUAGCGGUGAAAUGCGUAGAGAUCGGUAGGAACACCAGUGGCGAAGGCGGCUUUCUGGACUGAAACUGACGCUGAGGCGCGAAAGCGUGGGGAGCAAACAGGAAUAGAUACCCUGGUAGUCCACGCGGUA
This 800-nucleotide ribosomal RNA is filed under the name uncultured bacterium. Its description in RNAcentral is "bacterial SSU rRNA". It matches the Rfam family "Bacterial small subunit ribosomal RNA", at positions 1 to 804 of the family's 1533-position model. The record is from RNAcentral.